GCGUGAAGUUGGAAUUGCUAGUAAAUCGCGGAUCAGCAUGCCGCGGUGAAUACGUUCCCGGGCCUUGUACACACCGCCCGUCACACCAUGGGAGCCGGUAAUGCCCGAAGUCAGUAGCUUAACCGCAAGGAGGGCGCUGCCGAAGGUAGGAUUGGCGACUGGGGUGAAGUCGUAACAAGGUAGC
This 184-nucleotide ribosomal RNA is filed under the name uncultured bacterium. Its description in RNAcentral is "partial 16S ribosomal RNA". It matches the Rfam family "Bacterial small subunit ribosomal RNA", at positions 1318 to 1500 of the family's 1533-position model. The record is from RNAcentral.